GCGAGGGUGGCGGAAUUGGCAGACGCGCACGUUUGAGGGGCGUGUGGUUAUACCGUACGGGUUCAAGUCCCGUUCUUCGCACCA
Molecule: transfer RNA, 84 nt
Filed under: Clostridium sp. CT7
Lineage: Bacteria; Bacillati; Bacillota; Clostridia; Eubacteriales; Clostridiaceae
Description: tRNA-Leu
Rfam family: tRNA
About the family: Transfer RNA (tRNA) molecules are approximately 80 nucleotides in length. Their secondary structure includes four short double-helical elements and three loops (D, anti-codon, and T loops).
Source: RNAcentral